AGCUUUCUGAAUCCGUGCUGAGAUUUCAUCAGAUACCAACUCAUUAGGACUGAUCAGACUUCCAAGAUAAGUGGAUUU
This 78-nucleotide microRNA precursor is filed under the name Schistosoma margrebowiei. RNAcentral's name for it is "mir-3492 microRNA precursor family". It matches the Rfam family "mir-3492 microRNA precursor family". The record is from Rfam by way of RNAcentral. Lineage: Eukaryota; Metazoa; Platyhelminthes; Trematoda; Strigeidida; Schistosomatidae.